This 302-nucleotide long non-coding RNA is filed under the name Mytilus galloprovincialis (Mediterranean mussel). Lineage: Eukaryota; Metazoa; Mollusca; Bivalvia; Mytilida; Mytilidae. The record is from RNAcentral.
AUAAAGGGCAAUAACUCCUUAAGAGGUCAACAAACCAUUUUGGUCAUGUUGACUUUUGUAGAUCUUACUUUGCUGAACAUUAUUGAUGUUUACAGUUUAUCUGUAUCUAUAAUAGUAUUCAAGAUAAUAACCAAAAAUGACCAAUUGGGGGGCAGCAACCAACAACCGGUUGUCCAAUUCAUCUGAAAAUUUCAGGGCAGAUAGAUCUUGACCUGAUAAACAAUUUAACCCCUCGUCAGAUUUGCUCUAAAUGCUUUGGUUUCAGAGUAAUAAGCCAAAAUCUACAUUUUACCCCUGUGCUC